CCUACGGGUGGCAGCAGUGGGGAAUAUUGGACAAUGGGCGAAAGCCUGAUCCAGUCAUGCCGCGUGUGUGAAGAAGGCCUUCGGGUUGUAAAGCACUUUCAGUGGGGAAGAAAGCCUUGGGGCUAAUACCCUCGAGGAAGGACAUCACCCACAGAAGAAGCACCGGCUAACUCCGUGCCAGCAGCCGCGGUAAUACGGAGGGUGCGAGCGUUAAUCGGAAUUACUGGGCGUAAAGCGCGCGUAGGCGGUCUGAUAAGCCGGUUGUGAAAGCCCCGGGCUCAACCUGGGAACGGCAUCCGGAACUGUCAGGCUAGAGUGCAGGAGAGGAAGGUAGAAUUCCCGGUGUAGCGGUGAAAUGCGUAGAGAUCGGGAGGAAUACCAGUGGCGAAGGCGGCCUUCUGGACUGACACUGACGCUGAGGUGCGAAAGCGUGGGUAGCAAACAGGAUUAGAUACCCGAGUAGUC
This 465-nucleotide ribosomal RNA is filed under the name Vreelandella stevensii. RNAcentral describes it as "partial 16S ribosomal RNA". It matches the Rfam family "Bacterial small subunit ribosomal RNA", at positions 338 to 795 of the family's 1533-position model. Lineage: Bacteria; Pseudomonadati; Pseudomonadota; Gammaproteobacteria; Oceanospirillales; Halomonadaceae. The record is from RNAcentral.